Neopsephotus bourkii (Bourke's parrot) is the source of this 2166-nucleotide long non-coding RNA. RefSeq lists it as uncharacterized. The record is from RefSeq and is a predicted model, not a curated record. Lineage: Eukaryota; Metazoa; Chordata; Aves; Psittaciformes; Psittacidae. The transcript is spliced from 2 exons.
UUGAAUUUUUCAGCCAAAUAGUUUGUUCUAUGAAAGAGUUGAAAUAUCCUACCCCCUCAGUUCAAGGCUUCCUUUGCUAUCUUCCUUUUCUUGUGUUCUUAGAGUAUUUCUCUGUCUUGUAAAGCAGUAAGUUCCGAUGACAGAGUGCUCUCUGUGAAGCCUGAGUGGCCAUAAUAAUAGUGGUAUUAUUGUUUUGUCCAUAUAUGAACUUCUUUCUCACAUGGAAAGAACUGUUUGCUUUGGUUUUAUAUCCUGUGGUGUAUCUGAUGAAUCUAAACAGUUCCCAGAAGAGUCUUUGUGAGAGCUCAAUAGAAGGAUUACACACGUGCUUGGAUUUUGCAGCUGUAAAUGCUUUUUGGUAGUGUCAGUGCUUUGGACUGAUAAGUGUAUUGAUGACUGCUGUGAAAAUGUCAUGUUCUCUUAUCUUGCAACUAUAGUGAUGGGCAGAAUCUGGCAUUGUAUUUGGGUUGGUGCAACCUAGAUAACUCUUACAAAUCCAUUUUCAUGUGGUCCAUGACAUGUAUGAUCCUUGGCAGGCUUGGAUAGCUCUUGCUUGUGUCUGACUACUGCAAGGUGCUGUAUUUCUCUUUUUGUCCCUUACCACCCCUCCGGCUGCUGUGGUUCUUAUGAGGAUGGUGGUGGUUUGGAGCAGGUGGAUGUAGUAUGACUCCAACAGUAUUUUCAGGGAUGGGAUGCUGCUUACUUUUCUGGAAAGUGCUUGGCAUGCUUCUGGUGCUGCUGUGGUGAGUUAUUCUGGAGAGAGGAAAUGUUUUGAAGGAGCAUGUAAGAGGUUUGUGACUUGAGAGCUCUUUGCUUGCUAUGUAUGAUUAAAGGAAGUGCAGAAAUGCAUAGGAAAUGAAGUAUUCCUAACAAAUUCUAGAAAGGUUUUGCCUAUGUACUUUGUAGAUAAAAAGACAGUUUAUUUGCAGUCAUUUAAAUUCAGACCUACCAAAAUGCUCAAGACAGUGAAUUAGAAGUCUGUUUCAGAUUUCUUUUGUGAUUUCUUUUGUGAGGAGUAGUCUCUCUUUAGUUCUGAUCCAGUGCCAGCUAUAGCCCUAUGGAUGACUCCCAGCAAUUACUGCUGAGUCUUAAUUACUUUUGGUGAGACUGAUAACAGGUCUGCUAAAGAAAGUUAAAUCCAUCAGAAAUGCCUGCAAUUUGCCUUCAAACACUGCCAAUUGCUUUAUUUUUGGCAACAUUCUGGCAGGAAAUAACUCCUCAAAAUGCAUGUUUACAGUGUUUAAAGAUGUCUUUUGGCAUGCCAGUAGAUUUCUCAACACCCCAUCAGAAAUGAUGUUGUAUAUUUAGGUUUUUCUGUACUACAGGCCCUUUUGGUGAAGAGGGGUGACUUGAUAAGUACAUGUGUAAUACUCGAUUUAUGGGUUAUGUAUGUAUGUGUUUGUGCUUAUUAAGGCAUGUGAUGACUGUGCUGCCACAAGCAGUCAGUUAUUUUGUAGAGUUCAGGGUAGGCACUAAAUUAUACCUUAAACAUUAGUGCAAGGUUAGUACAUUCUCAAGACAUAAAAUUACCCCAAAUUUCUGUUCUGUAAUACAAUGCAGUUUCAUACAUGAUGUUUAGAGUUACUGCUUGGCAAAGACAAGAGUUCUCCAGCUUUUAUUUGUUUACAAUUUAAACUAAAAAUGGUUGUGCAUACAUAAAUUACUGCUUCCUAAUACAAAUAACAGUAGUGCUUUAUGUGUUCUUUCAUUAUGGCAAAGAACAAACUCCUAAGAGAGAUCAAGUAACUCUGCGAGAGACAGGAGUGCAUCCACUGUCAUUAGCUGUGCACGGUGCCUUUAAUUGGUUAUCUGGUGGUUGAAUAACUAUUCAUUUUAGCUUUUGAAGAAUCUCGCUCAGCAAACUGGCUUUGGUGUGCAUGUUCCAGUAUUUAUCAGUAUACUGGGACUUGUGAGAUGUUUUAUGGCAGAAUGAUGAAAUUUCCGUGACAGCAUUGAAGACAUGGAGAGAAAGACAGUAUGAGCAGUUACAUGCAACCCUAACAGUCUCCUUUCAAUGGAAGUCAACUAUAUCCUUGAAUGGAAUUCAAGAUCAUGGUAUGUCUCUGUAUUAGGCACCCAGGAGUAAGGUGGUUUAUUUGGGAUGUAGCUGUGAGGACAGUCAGUCAUUAUGCAUUUAUGAAUAAAACUGAGACACUUAUUCUUGCA